This 1520-nucleotide long non-coding RNA is filed under the name Suricata suricatta (meerkat). RNAcentral describes it as "lncRNA (ENSSSUG00005018541.1)". The record is from RNAcentral. Lineage: Eukaryota; Metazoa; Chordata; Mammalia; Carnivora; Herpestidae.
ACUUCACUUCCCUUGAAAACCGCCGUCCCAGGUUUCCUUUUAUUCCCCAGGGACCAAUCUUACGUCUCUUUGAAGCCACCCCAGGCGACGGUUGAGAUGAGGCCAAGCGGCAGCCGUCCUCUUCUUUUUAGUUCUGUAUUAAAAUAUGCACGGACUUUGUUCCAGGCAGCUCAACUCUUGAGAUCUUUAGUUACAAAUGAAAGGUUUCUGUUCUUUUUUUUUUUUUUUUCCUCAAUUCCUUCCUCCAAAGGAAAGACACCUGCUGCGCGCAACCAGGAACUCCUAACCCAGGUGCUUCUUUCCAGCUUUUAAAAUAGCGCUGUGCGGAGCGAGAAGACCGUUUAUUAGCACGUAAGGUACUAACAAUGGUAGCGAAGCACCUGCGCUCACUUUCUGUGCUCCGCACUAACUGUACGAAAGCGCAGGGUUAGCUUGCGCCGAAGAGCAUUUCCAGUUUGCCGCUGGGCUCCUUCCCAUCCCACGCGCCGGGUGUUCGCGGGAGUUGCCGGCGCGCUGGGGAGCGAAACUUCAGCAGUGUUUGUUGUUGGAGGUUCUGCACCCGGAACCGCCGGGUAAGUUUGAGCGCCUACGCGAGGCGGCGCAGCGGCCUCCGCAGCCGAGACCUGCGCCCCGGCUCCUCCCCAGGGUGCCCCGAGGGCACACGCGGGCAGCGACUAGAAAACAGUGAAAGGUAAAACCGCCGAAAGCUCUUCCCUUAAAAAGCACCCUCUCCCCAAAGCACAGUUUGCAGCAAACCUCCUGCUCCCUGUAUUUUACGGAUCAGAGAAGCACCCCCCCCCCCAAGUUAUUCAUAGGUGGUGAUGGUGGGGUGUCCUGAUGGCUGCCUUCUGUCUUCUACCCUACAUUCUCUUUUCCGCAACCAACGCUGUGUGUGCGGAAAGGCUUAGCACUAAUUGCGCAAGGAAAAGAUUGCAAAUUACGCAAAUGUACUUAGAGCGCCUGCGGCUCGCAACUUCCCCCCAGGAGCUGGAGCCGGGGAAGUACCCCAGGUUGACUCCCCAGAAUGGACUCGGUCUUGGCGGAUGCAGAAUCGCCUUGACUGCUCACCUGUUCGGACUUCCGAAGGUCCUACGACUCUGCGCCGACCUAGCCUCCAAGCGAACGAAGGGAGUGCUCUUGAGACAACCUGGGGAGGUCCGGCUUCUCUUCGGAAGGUGUGCCUGCCGAAAUCUCUGCAGUCCAGCUAAACCGAUUGCUGCUGCUGGUCUCCCCUGGCGCCUCCAACUUCGGCUUGGCGCAGCGGUGGCGGCAGUUCUGGGCUCGCAGCCCGUUUCGGCCCCGGCCUGCGGGCGCCGCGGCGAACAGGUGCGAGGCUCACUGCCCCGGGUGGAUCCCCAGAUAGGCUCUCCGGGGAAUAAACGAGUGAUCUAGAGGACAUGGCAUCUCAAAACGAGUCUCCACGGAACAUCCUGACUCUGGAAACAAAGGUAAUUCCACUUUAUUGUUUGUUAGGAACUCGCCGAUGUAAAUACAAAGUCAUGUGUUCCCAGGCAGGGUAA